This 790-nucleotide ribosomal RNA is filed under the name uncultured Clostridia bacterium. RNAcentral's name for it is "bacterial SSU rRNA". It matches the Rfam family "Bacterial small subunit ribosomal RNA", at positions 80 to 896 of the family's 1533-position model. Lineage: Bacteria; Bacillati; Bacillota; Clostridia. The record is from RNAcentral.
AUUGAUGAAAGAUAAGCGGCGGACGGGUGAGUAACGCGUGGGUAACCUGCCCUAUACACAUGGAUAACAUACUGAAAAGUUUACUAAUACAUGAUAAUAUAUAUUUACGGCAUCGUAGAUAUAUCAAAGUGUUAGCGGUAUAGGAUGGACCCGCGUCUGAUUAGCUAGUUGGUGAGAUAACUGCCCACCAAGGCGACGAUCAGUAGCCGACCUGAGAGGGUGAUCGGCCACAUUGGAACUGAGACACGGUCCAAACUCCUACGGGAGGCAGCAGUGGGGAAUAUUGCACAAUGGGCGCAAGCCUGAUGCAGCAACGCCGCGUGAACGAUGAAGGUCUUCGGAUCGUAAAGUUCUGUUGCAGGGGAAGAUAAUGACGGUACCCUGUGAGGAAGCCCCGGCUAACUACGUGCCAGCAGCCGCGGUAAUACGUAGGGGGCUAGCGUUAUCCGGAUUUACUGGGCGUAAAGGGUGCGUAGGUGGUCUUUCAAGUCGGUGGUUAAAGGCUACGGCUCAACCGUAGUUAGCCUCCGAAACUGGAAGACUUGAGUGCAGGAGAGGAAAGUGGAAUUCCCAGUGUAGCGGUGAAAUGCGUAGAUAUUGGGAGGAACACCAGUAGCGAAGGCGGCUUUCUGGACUGCAACUGACACUGAGGCACGAAAGCGUGGGUAGCAAACAGGAUUAGAUACCCUGGUAGUCCACGCUGUAAACGAUGAGUGCUAGGUAUCGGAAUAAUUCGGUGCCGCAGUUAACACAUUAAGCACUCCGCCUGGGGAGUACGUGCGCAAGCAUG